This 250-nucleotide ribosomal RNA is filed under the name Klebsiella pneumoniae. RNAcentral describes it as "partial 23S ribosomal RNA". It matches the Rfam family "Bacterial large subunit ribosomal RNA", at positions 604 to 856 of the family's 2925-position model. Lineage: Bacteria; Pseudomonadati; Pseudomonadota; Gammaproteobacteria; Enterobacterales; Enterobacteriaceae. The record is from RNAcentral.
CCUUUUGUAUAAUGGGUCAACGACUUACAUUCAGUAGCGAGCUUAACCGAAUAGGGGAGGCGUAGGGAAACCGAGUCUUAAUAGGGCGAUGAGUUGCUGGGUGUAGACCCGAAACCGAGUGAUCUAUCCAUGGCCAGGUUGAAGGUGCCGUAACAGGUACUGGAGGACCGAACCCACGCAUGUUGCAAAAUGCGGGGAUGAGCUGUGGAUAGGGGUGAAAGGCUAAACAAACUCGGAGAUAGCUGGUUCU